GACGAACGCUGGCGGCGUGCCUAAUACAUGCAAGUAGAACGCACAGUUUAUACCGUAGCUUGCUACACCAUAGACUGUGAGUUGCGAACGGGUGAGUAACGCGUAGGUAACCUGCCUGGUAGCGGGGGAUAACUAUUGGAAACGAUAGCUAAUACCGCAUAAUAUUGAUUAUUGCAUGAUAAUUGAUUGAAAGAUGCUAUUGCAUCACUACCAGAUGGACCUGCGUUGUAUUAGCUAGUAGGUGAGGUAACGGCUCACCUAGGCGACGAUACAUAGCCGACCUGAGAGGGUGAUCGGCCACACUGGGACUGAGACACGGCCCAGACUCCUACGGGAGGCAGCAGUAGGGAAUCUUCGGCAAUGGACGAAAGUCUGACCGAGCAACGCCGCGUGAGUGAAGAAGGUUGUCGGAUCGUAAAGCUCUGUUGUAAGAGAAGAACGGGUGUGAGAGUGGAAAGUUCACACUGUGACGGUAUCUUACCAGAAAGGGACGGCUAACUACGUG
This 505-nucleotide ribosomal RNA is filed under the name uncultured bacterium. Its description in RNAcentral is "partial 16S ribosomal RNA". It matches the Rfam family "Bacterial small subunit ribosomal RNA", at positions 28 to 507 of the family's 1533-position model. The record is from RNAcentral.